ACCCGCCCCUCCUCGAAGGGUUUCGGGAUCUGUGAGCGAUGCCGCGUAUGGGAGGAACCUUGAGUGUGACCCGCUAUCCUGAAGUAUUUAUUGAAUGUUGUCUCACUGCCCAAAGAGGGUGUAAGGCCCGUAAGGUAUGCAAGAUGCGCUCGUUGGUUCCUCUCGAGAGUCGGGUUGCUUGAAAAUGCAGCCCUAAGUAGGUGGUAAACUCCAUCUAAGGCUAAAUAUUCUCACGAGACCGAUAGCGAACAAGUACCGCGAGGGAAAGUUGAAAAGAACUUUGAAAAGAGAGUUCAAUAGAGCGUGAAACUACCACGAGGUUAAAGCGAGUGAGCGUUCGUGUCCGAACGGCUUGAUUCAUUCUCCCAAUCCGUGGCGGCUAGAGGGUCGUAAUGCGUCAAUUAACGGAUCUCCCGAGGGCUAGUACGGAGGCCUCGUGCCUUUUAGUCUCGAGGGUUGACCGGCGUAUACCUCUAGUUUGCUCGGAAGGAGGGUGCACUUCCGG
Molecule: ribosomal RNA, 505 nt
Filed under: Haloniscus sp. 1 MJ-2015
Lineage: Eukaryota; Metazoa; Arthropoda; Malacostraca; Isopoda; Scyphacidae
Description: eukaryotic LSU rRNA
Rfam family: Eukaryotic large subunit ribosomal RNA
Source: RNAcentral